GACAGAGGAUGCAAGCGUUGUCCGGAUUUAUUGGGUUUAAAGGGUGCGUAGGCGGCCCUGUAAGUCAGUGCUGAAAUAUCCCGGCUUAACCGGGAGGGUGGCAUUGAUACUGCAGGGCUUGAGUACAGAUGAAGUAGGCGGAAUUGACGGUGUAGCGGUGAAAUGCAUAGAUAUCGUCAAGAACACCGAUAGCGAAGGCAGCUUACUAAGCUGUAACUGACGCUGAGGCACGAAAGUGUGGGGAUCAAACAGG
Molecule: ribosomal RNA, 253 nt
Filed under: uncultured bacterium
Lineage: Bacteria
Description: partial 16S ribosomal RNA
Rfam family: Bacterial small subunit ribosomal RNA
Source: RNAcentral